This 253-nucleotide ribosomal RNA is filed under the name uncultured bacterium. Its description in RNAcentral is "partial 16S ribosomal RNA". It matches the Rfam family "Bacterial small subunit ribosomal RNA", at positions 524 to 776 of the family's 1533-position model. The record is from RNAcentral.
UACGUAGGGGGCGAGCGUUGUCCGGAUUUAUUGGGCGUAAAGAGCGUGUAGGCGGUUCGGUAAGUCUGUCGUGAAAUCCUGAGGCUCAACCUCGGGCGUGCGAUGGAUACUGCCGGGCUAGAGGGUGGUAGAGGCGAGUGGAAUUCCCGGUGUAGCGGUGAAAUGCGCAGAUAUCGGGAGGAACACCUGCGGCGAAGGCGGGUAGCUGGGCCGACACUGACGCUGAGGCGCGAAAGCCAGGGGAGCGAACGGG